Molecule: ribosomal RNA, 279 nt
Filed under: uncultured bacterium
Lineage: Bacteria
Description: partial 16S ribosomal RNA
Rfam family: Bacterial small subunit ribosomal RNA
Source: RNAcentral
UGCCAGCCGCCGCGGUAAUACGGAGGGUGCAAGCGUUAUCCGGAAUCACUGGGUUUAAAGGGUGCGUAGGCGGUUUGUUAAGUCAGAGGUGAAAGUUUGCAGCUCAACUGUAAAAUUGCCUUUGAAACUGACAGACUUGAAUAGCGUUGAGGUCAGCGGAAUGUGACAUGUAGCGGUGAAAUGCAUAGAUAUGUCAUAGAACACCAAUUGCGAAGGCAGCUGGCUGGGCGUUUAUUGACGCUGAGGCACGAAAGCGUGGGGAGCGAACAGGAUUAGAUA